GGUUGACCUCGGAUCAGGUAGGAAUACCCGCUGAACUUAAGCAUAUCAAUAAGCGGAGGAAAAGAAACCAACAGGGAUUGCCCUAGUAACGGCGAGUGAAGCGGCAACAGCUCAAAUUUGAAAUCUGGCCCUCGGGUCCGAGUUGUAAUUUGUAGAGGAUGCUUUUGGUGCGGUACCUUCCGAGUUCCCUGGAACGGGACGCCAUAGAGGGUGAGAGCCCCGUCUGGUUGGAUACCAAUCCUCUGUAAAGCUCCUUCGACGAGUCGAGUAGUUUGGGAAUGCUGCUCUAAAUGGGAGGUAUAUGUCUUCUAAAGCUAAAUACCGGCCAGAGACCGAUAGCGCACAAGUAGAGUGAUCGAAAGAUGAAAAGCACUUUGAAAAGAGGGUUAAACAGUACGUGAAAUUGUUGAAAGGGAAGCGCUUGUGACCAGACUUGGGCCCGGUUAAUCAUCCAGCGUUCUCGCUGGUGCACUUGGCCGGCCCAGGCCAGCAUCAGUUCGGCGCGGGGGAUAAAGACUUUGGGAAUGUGGCUCCUCCGGGAGUGUUAUAGCCCACUGUGUAAUACCCUGCGCUGGACUGAGGUUCGCGCAUCUGCAAGGAUGCUGGCGUAAUGGUCAUCAGCGACCCGUCUU
This 632-nucleotide ribosomal RNA is filed under the name Fusicolla violacea. Its description in RNAcentral is "eukaryotic LSU rRNA". It matches the Rfam family "Eukaryotic large subunit ribosomal RNA", at positions 1 to 655 of the family's 3401-position model. The record is from RNAcentral. Lineage: Eukaryota; Fungi; Ascomycota; Sordariomycetes; Hypocreales; Nectriaceae.